RNAcentral lists this ribosomal RNA (770 nucleotides) under uncultured bacterium. RNAcentral describes it as "partial 16S ribosomal RNA". It matches the Rfam family "Bacterial small subunit ribosomal RNA", at positions 613 to 1381 of the family's 1533-position model. The record is from RNAcentral.
CCGUGGAGGNUCAUUGGAAACUGGGAGGCUUGAGUGCAGAAGAGGAGAGCGGAAUUCCAUGUGUAGCGGUGAAAUGCGUAGAUAUAUGGAGGANCACCAGUGGCGAAGGCGGCUCUNUGGUCUGUAACUGACGCUGAGGCUNGAAAGCGUGGGGAGCAAACAGGAUUAGAUACCCNUGGUAGUCCACGCCGUAAACGAUGAGUGCUAAGUGUUGGAGGGGUUCCACCCUUCAGUGCNGGAGUUAACGCAAUAAGCACUCCGCCUGGGGAGUACGGCCGCAAGGCUGAAACUCAAAGGAAUUGACGGGGACCCGCACAAACGGUGGAGCAUGUGGUUUAAUUCGAAGCAACGCGAAGAACCUUACCAGGUCUUGACAUCCCGACGACCGCUCUAGAGAUAGAGUUUUUCUUCGGAACGUCGGUGACAGGUGGUGCAUGGUUGUCGUCAGCUCGUGUCGUGAGAUGUUGNNNNNANNNNNNNNNNCGAGCGCAACCCCUAUAACUAGUUGCCAGCAUUAAGAUGGGGACUCUAGUUAGACUGCCGGUGACAAACCGGAGGAAGGUGGGGAUGACGUCAAAUCAUCAUGCCCCUUAUGACCUGGGCUACACACGUGCUACAAUGGAUGGUACAACGAGCAGCGAACUCGCGAGGGUAAGCGAAUCUCUAAAAGCCAUUCUCAGUUCGGAUUGUAGUCUGCAACUCGACUACAUGAAGCCGGAAUCGCUAGUAAUCGCGGGUCAGCACGCCGCGGUGAAUACGUUCCCGGGUCU